UGGGCGCAAGCCUGAUGCAGCAACGCCGCGUGAGCGAUGAAGGCCUUCGGGUCGUAAAGCUCUGUCCUCAAGGAAGAAUAAAUGACGGUACUUGAGGAGGAAGCCCCCGGCUAACUACGUGCCAGCAGCCGCGGUAAUACGUAGGGGGCAAGCGUUAUCCGGAAUCACUGGGCGUAAAGGGGUGCGUAGGCGGUUUUUCAAGUCAGAAGUGAAAGGCUAUGGCUCAACCAUAGUAAGCUUUUGAAACUGUUAAACUUGAGUGCAGGAGAGGAAAGUGGAAUUCCUAGUGUAGAGGUGAAAUUCGUAGAUAUUAGGAGGAACACCAGUGGCGAAGGCGACUUUCUGGACUGUAACUGACGCUGAGGCACGAAAGCGUGGGGAGCGAACAGGAUUAGAUACCCUGGUAG
RNAcentral lists this ribosomal RNA (407 nucleotides) under uncultured bacterium. Its description in RNAcentral is "bacterial SSU rRNA". It matches the Rfam family "Bacterial small subunit ribosomal RNA", at positions 372 to 793 of the family's 1533-position model. The record is from RNAcentral.